UUAACCGUAAAAUAGCCAUUGAUACUGUUGUUCUUGAGUUCGGCUGAGGUAGGCGGAAUGAGUAAUGUAGCGGUGAAAUGCUUAGAUAUUACUCAGAACACCGAUUGCGUAGGCAGCUUACCAAACCGACACUGACGCUGAGGCACGAAAGCGUGGGGAGCGAACAGGAUUAGAUACCCUGGUAGUCCACGCCGUAAACGUUGAUUACUCGUUGUUGGCAAUACAUCGUCAGCGACUGAGCGAAAGCAUUAAGUAAUCCACCUGGGGAGUACGUCAGCAAUGAUGAAACUCAAAGGAAUUGACGGGGGCCCGCACAAGCGGAGGAACAUGUGGUUUAAUUCGAUGAUACGCGAGGAACCUUACCUGGGCUUAAAUGUAGAGUGCAUAGAGUGGAAACAUUCUUUUCCUUCGGGACUCUUUACAAGGUGCUGCAUGGUUGUCGUCAGCUCGUGCCGUGAGGUGUCGGGUUAAGUCCCAUAACGAGCGCAACCCUCAUUGCCAGUUGCCAUCACAUCAUGGUGGGGACUCUGGUGAAACUGCCGGUGCAAACCGUGAGGAAGGUGAGGAUGACGUCAAAUCAGCACGGCCCUUAUGUCCAGGGCUACACACGUGUUACAAUGGUCGGUACAACGGGCAGCUACACAGCGAUGUGGUGCUAAUCCCAAAAACCGAUCUUAGUUCGGAUCGGAGUCUGCAACUCGACUCCGUGAAGCUGGAUUCGCUAGU
This 726-nucleotide ribosomal RNA is filed under the name uncultured bacterium. Its description in RNAcentral is "bacterial SSU rRNA". It matches the Rfam family "Bacterial small subunit ribosomal RNA", at positions 609 to 1339 of the family's 1533-position model. The record is from RNAcentral.